CAGCCGCCGCGGUAAAACCAGCACCUCAAGUGGUCAGGAUGAUUAUUGGGCCUAAAGCAUCCGUAGCCGGCUCUGUAAGUUUUCGGUUAAAUCUGUAUGCUCAACAUACAGGCUGCCGGGAAUACUGCAGAGCUAGGGAGUGGGAGAGGUAGACGGUACUCGGUAGGAAGGGGUAAAAUCCUUUGAUCUAUUGAUGACCACCUGUGGCGAAGGCGGUCUACCAGAACACGUCCGACGGUGAGGGAUGAAAGCUGGGGGAGCAAACCGGAUUAGAUACCCGGGUAGUCCCAGCUGUAAACUAUGCAAACUCGGUGAUGCAUUGGCUUGAUGCCGAUGCAGUGCCGCAGGGAAGCCGUUAAGUUUGCCGCCUGGGAAGUACGUACGCAAGUAUGAAACUUAAAGGAAUUGGCGGGGGAGCAC
Molecule: ribosomal RNA, 420 nt
Filed under: uncultured Nitrososphaerota archaeon
Lineage: Archaea; Thermoproteati; Nitrososphaerota
Description: bacterial SSU rRNA
Rfam family: Archaeal small subunit ribosomal RNA
Source: RNAcentral